GACGAACGCUGGCGGCGUGCUUAACACAUGCAAGUCGAACGAGACGAUUGAAAGCUUGCUUUCGAAAGUCGAGUGGCAAACGGGUGAGUAACGCGUAGACAACCUGCCUUUGAGAUGGGGACAACAGUUCGAAAGGACUGCUAAUACCGAAUGUUGUAUAUUUUCCACAUGGAAGAUAUAUUAAAGUUGGCCUCUAUUUAUAAGCUAUCGCUCAAAGAUGGGUCUGCGUCUGAUUAGCUGGUUGGUGGGGUAACGGCCUACCAAGGCGACGAUCAGUAGCCGGUCUGAGAGGAUGAACGGCCACAUUGGGACUGAGACACGGCCCAGACUCCUACGGGAGGCAGCAGUGGGGAAUCUUCCACAAUGGACGAAAGUCUGAUGGAGCAACGCCGCGUGAGUGAAGAAGGGUUUCGGCUCGUAAAGCUCUGUUGUCGGGGACGAAUGUGCAGUAUUUGAAUAAAGUACUGCAAUGACGGUACCUGACGAGGAAGCCACGGCUAACUACGUGCCAGCAGCAGCCGCAG
Molecule: ribosomal RNA, 524 nt
Filed under: uncultured bacterium
Lineage: Bacteria
Description: partial 16S ribosomal RNA
Rfam family: Bacterial small subunit ribosomal RNA
Source: RNAcentral